RNAcentral lists this signal recognition particle RNA (213 nucleotides) under Oscillospiraceae bacterium. RNAcentral's name for it is "signal recognition particle sRNA large type". The stretch from base 83 to 181 matches the Rfam family "Bacterial small signal recognition particle RNA". The record is from RNAcentral. Lineage: Bacteria; Bacillati; Bacillota; Clostridia; Eubacteriales; Oscillospiraceae.
CUUUACCUAUUGAUUUUUGAGAAACCUUGUAUUAUAAUAAUCAGUACUGAAUUAAGUUUUACGCUCAAUUCGGUCAUGCGAUGAGUGGGUCCUGUGCGACGGGGCGCCGUGAACCAUGUCAGGCGGGGAACCGAGCAGCAUUAAGCGGGCCGUCCUGUGCGACACAGUCUGCCUGCUCAUCGUGUGACCGAGUUGAGCGUAAAAUCGCUAAAG